This is a long non-coding RNA of Salvia miltiorrhiza (redroot sage), 1202 nucleotides long. RefSeq lists it as uncharacterized. The transcript has 2 exons. The record is from RefSeq and is a predicted model, not a curated record. Lineage: Eukaryota; Viridiplantae; Streptophyta; Magnoliopsida; Lamiales; Lamiaceae.
UCAUCUUAGAGUAUUCUAACCCACAUACUAAUUAAAUAGAUCUACUCUAUUUAAUCCAUAAUCAGAAAUUAAUAAACUAAUGAGUGUUGAACUGAUUUCAAUUAGACUUAAAUAUAGGAGAAAUAAUAUCAAACCUGGGCUCAUUUAAGGAAAUAAGUAAGCCCUUUUCUAAUUAUAUCCAGCCCAACAUUUCGGCCCACCUUAAGGAAUAAAUUCAGCCCAAGCAAGAGGCCCACCUCUUCUCUUUUUUUUUUUAGUCAGGAACGGCUGAAAGGAUCAGCACUCUCUCCUUCAUGCCAAAUUCGUCGCCGCCGCUGACUCUUUUAGCUCCGGCGAACGGCCGCCUCCGCCACUCUGAAAUCCGGCGUUUCUUCUCUCAACUCCGGCGACUGAUUGUCGCCAUUCCUUUCUCGCAUUCUCUCCCUGUUUUGCGAUCUCUCUCUCUCUCUCGAAAGUCGCCGCCUCUGAAAGCCGCGCCGCCGGCGACGGCCAUUUGGCGUCCUCAUCUUCCCUGCCGUCACGCCCUUCGUCCCACCUCUCUUCUCGUGCUUUUCCUCCCGAUCCCCAAAUUUCAGAAAACACACAUUGUCAAUUGGAAACGAAACGGAGCCCUAAUCCUCUUCUCAAACUCAAUCUGCUGCUUCGCCCAUCCGGUUCCGGCGAGGCCCCGCUGUUAAGCAUUCCAGCGCCGCCGCGCUUUCCUUGGCCGGAAAUCGCCUCUCCGUUGAGCCCUAGCUCUACCUCCUGCCGACGCGGUUAGCCCUAGCCUCCCUCUCUUUUCCUCGCGGUUAGCGUCGACAUCAAACCGGCAUCCGUCCCCGUUCAAUGAAAAUCAGACGAUGGGGACUCUUAAAGUUGGCAGAGCAGCAGCUUAAUGAAUUCUCCUCACUUUGGUGGCUGAAGGAACAGAGAAUGAAGGCAAGGAGUGUUGGCUAGUAGCCUUAAAGAAUCGAAGAUGGUGGAGGUGGUGGGUGAUUGAGGAGAUGGCUGUCAUAGGGUGGCUGAUUGACACAUAUGUGUACUUUGGUAUGGUUGGUUAAAGGGAUGGGAGAGCGGGCUAUUUUGCACACACAUAGCACAGGUCCCCUUUCUUUCCGUUUCUUUGGUUUGCUUUUUUGAUGUAGUAGGUAGGAAAUAGGGAUGCAGGGAAUAGUAAGUUGUAAAGUUGUGAUGUGAUGAAUAAAAUUCUUCAGUGUUACUCA